GACGAACGCUGGCGGCGUGCUUAACACAUGCAAGUCGAACGGAAAGGCCCUGCUUUUGUGGGGUGCUCGAGUGGCGAACGGGUGAGUAACACGUGAGUAACCUGCCCUUGACUUUGGGAUAACUUCAGGAAACUGGGGCUAAUACCGGAUAGGAGCUCCUGCUGCAUGGUGGGGGUUGGAAAGUUUCGGCGGUUGGGGAUGGACUCGCGGCUUAUCAGCUUGUUGGUGGGGUAGUGGCUUACCAAGGCUUUGACGGGUAGCCGGCCUGAGAGGGUGACCGGCCACAUUGGGACUGAGAUACGGCCCAGACUCCUACGGGAGGCAGCAGUGGGGAAUAGUGCACAAUGGGCGGAAGCCUGAUGCAGCAGCGCCGCGUGCGGGAUGACGGCCUUCGGGUUGUAAACCGCUUUCGCCUGUGACGAAGCGUGAGUGACGGUAAUGGGUAAAGAAGCACCGGCUAACUACGUG
Molecule: ribosomal RNA, 468 nt
Filed under: uncultured bacterium
Lineage: Bacteria
Description: partial 16S ribosomal RNA
Rfam family: Bacterial small subunit ribosomal RNA
Source: RNAcentral